AGUUCCAUCAAUUUAGGUAAAUGUGCCCUCGGUACUGGAAUCGGUCUUAGAUUCCAAGGUACAUGCGGUACAGUGAAGAUAACCAUAGGUGUUAUAAUAUUUGGAUCCACACACCCAAUUUCAUGAGAUUCGAAAGCAAACGAUCUACCUUGUUUAGCCAACAUCUUUUUGAAGCAAGUAAUUUCUUCCGGCAAUAAAGAACCAUCAGAACCAAUCUUCAAUUCUUCAAAAGUCUCUUCAGUAAACUGAUGUCCAAUAUUCAUUGGAUCUCUUAAACUUGCUUCUUUUGAUGCUUCUCCCAUUUUUUCUUUAGAAUCCUCUGGUAAUGGUCCGACAACAGGCUUUACCUUCUUAUCUGCCGUUUUAUAUCUCGUCUCUACU
RNAcentral lists this long non-coding RNA (381 nucleotides) under Physcomitrium patens. RNAcentral describes it as "long non-coding RNA (PPAT_LNC007084)". The record is from RNAcentral. Lineage: Eukaryota; Viridiplantae; Streptophyta; Bryopsida; Funariales; Funariaceae.